Molecule: ribosomal RNA, 407 nt
Filed under: uncultured bacterium
Lineage: Bacteria
Description: partial 16S ribosomal RNA
Rfam family: Bacterial small subunit ribosomal RNA
Source: RNAcentral
GACGAACGCUGGCGGCGUGCCUAAUACAUGCAAGUAGAACGCAGUUGCGAACGGGUGAGUAACGCGUAGGUACCUGCCUCCUUGCGGGGGAUAAAUAUUGGAAAAUAUAGCUAAUUACGCAUACUGUGUGAUGGACCUGCGUGGUAUUAGCUAUUUGGUAAGGUAAAGGCUGACCAAGGCGACGAUACAUAGCCGACCUGAGAGGUGGAUCGGCCACACUGGGACUGAGACACGGCCCAGACUCCUACGGGAGGCAGCAGUAGGGAAUCUGCGGAAAUGGACGGAAGUCUGACCGAGCAACGCCGCGUGAGUGAAGAAGGUUUUCGGAUCGUAAAGCUCUGUUGUUAGAGAAGCGGUACCUAACCAGAAAGGGACGGCUAACUACGUGCCAGCAGCCGCGGUAAUAC